RNAcentral lists this ribosomal RNA (301 nucleotides) under uncultured bacterium. Its description in RNAcentral is "partial 16S ribosomal RNA". It matches the Rfam family "Bacterial small subunit ribosomal RNA", at positions 509 to 807 of the family's 1533-position model. The record is from RNAcentral.
CAGUAGCCGCGGUAAUACGUAGGUGGCAAGCGUUGUCCGGAAUUAUUGGGCGUAAAGGGCUCGCAGGCGGUUUCUUAAGUCUGAUGUGAAAGCCCCCGGCUCAACCGGGGAGGGUCAUUGGAAACUGGGAAACUUGAGUGCAGAAGAGGAGAGUGGAAUUCCACGUGUAUCGGUGAAAUGCGUAGAGAUGUGGAGGAACACCAGUGGCGAAGGCGACUCUCUGGUCUGUAACUGACGCUGAGGAGCGAAAGCGUGGGGAGCGAACAGGAUUAGAUACCCGUGUAGUCCCUGUCUCUUAUAC